UCAGCCGCCGCCGCUGGCGCGCACUGUACAGCUGCAUCAGCUGUUCGUAGGACAUGUCCAGCAGCUGGUCCAGGUCCACGCCGCGGCUUCUGAAAGGAUAUGGGCCAGUGCAUCAGAUUUUGUUGCUGAGCAGGUUGGAGAAGAGCAUCAAAGGUGAGAGCAAAGGUAAGAACCAGCAUAGAUGUGGGAAUGAGUGGGUGGGUGCACCGGCCAAGAAGGGGCCUGACUGAAGGACCAGGGAACAACCAAUAGGUUAUGGAAGGCUGGAGUCAGAUUGCAGAGACUAGAGACUCCUAAUAUCAGGCUGAGAAAUCAAAUAGCUGUUCAUCAUUUGUGCCUGAGGAUGGAUCAGAGCAACGUGAUGAAAGUGGCACUUGUGUAAGACUUGCCCAGCAAAGUAGGGCAAGGAU
This is a long non-coding RNA of Homo sapiens (human), 410 nucleotides long. Lineage: Eukaryota; Metazoa; Chordata; Mammalia; Primates; Hominidae. The record is from Ensembl.